AUGAGAGCUCCGGCUGUCAAUCAAUCCAGGCUGUCAAUCAAACAUGGCAGUCAAUCAAACAAGCUGUCAAUCAGCAGGGCUGUCAAUCAAACAAAGCUGUCAAUCAAACGGGGCAGUCAACACAAUGGGACUGUCAAUCAACCCAGGCCGUCAAUCAAUCAAAGCUGUCAAUCAAAACGGGCUGUCAAUCGAAUUGCCAUGUCAUCCAAUCCGGGCUGUCAAUCAAACAGGGCUGUCAAUCAAACCAAUCUGUCAACCAAUCAUGGCUGUCAAUCAAACGGGGCUGUCAAUCAAUCUGGGCUGUCAAUCAUACAGAGCUGUCAAUAUAACGGGGCUGUCAAUCGAUCUGAGCUGUCAAUCAUAGAGAAUUGUCAAUCCAGGCUGUCAAUCAAUCCAGACUGCCAAUCAAACAACGGUGUCAAUCAAACAGGGCUGUCAAUCAAACAGAACACGCCGGCAGGGCUGUCAAUCAAUCCAGGCUGGCAAUCAUCCCAGGCUGUCAAUCAAACGGGGCUGUCAAUCAUACUGAACUCCCUGUCAGGUCUGUCAAUCACACAAAGCUGUCAAUCAAUCCAGGCUGUCAAUCAAACGGGGCUGUCAAUCAAUCCAGACUGUCAAUCAAAUGGGGCUGUCGUUCACACAGAGCUGUCAAUCAAGGGUGGCUGACAAUCACACGUAUCAAUCAGACAAGGCUGUCAAUCAAAUGGUUCAGUCGAUCCGAUCGCUUUGUCAAUCAGGUGGAGCUGUCAAUCAAACAGGGCUGUCCAUGAAACCGAUCUGUCAAUCAGAUCCUUUUGUCAAUCUGACGGAGCUGUCAAUCAAAAGGGGCUGUCAAUCACACGGGUCUGGUUAUGGAGCUGUCAGUCAGACAGAGCUGUCAAUCAGACGGGGGCGAUCAAUGAGUGAAGCUGUCAAUCAAAACGACAUCAGCAGCCCGGCUGUCAAUCAAGGAGCGCUGUCAAUCAACUGUGAUCUCACAGCUGUCAAUCAACCAGUCAAAACGAGCUGUCAAUCAAUCGGUGACAGCUGUCAAUCAGACGAGGCUGUCAAUCAGACGCAGCUGUCCGUCAUCCAACCCCGCUGAUGCCUGUCGUUGCCGUCAAUCGCAGCUGUCAAUCAAUCGCAGCUGUCAAUCAGUCAGAGCUGUCAAUCAGUCAGAGCUGUCUAUCAGUCAGAGCUGUCAAUCACAGCUGUCAAUCACAGCUCAAUCGAAAUGGGGGUCGACUGUCGCGAGGUGUCAAUCAAAGCUCUGUGAGUUGCGUGGCUGUCAAUCACGCCGAGCUGUCAAUCACGCUGAGCUGUCAAUCACACGGAGCUGUCAAUCAAACGACACCCAAUCCCAGCCGUCAAUGGGAGCCGUCCGUCAGGCCGAGCUGUCAAUCAAACCCAGCAGCCAAUCAAACGCAGCUGUCAAUCAACGACCCGACACC
This 1430-nucleotide long non-coding RNA is filed under the name Phasianus colchicus (ring-necked pheasant). Its description in RNAcentral is "lncRNA (ENSPCLG00000017806.1)". The record is from RNAcentral. Lineage: Eukaryota; Metazoa; Chordata; Aves; Galliformes; Phasianidae.